UACGGUAAUAUAUUUAACAAUUAAAUUCUGAAUCAAUUAACAAACACAAUCUCUUGCAUCUUGUAGAUCUUCCUAGCAUCAAAUUUUAACUCGAACAAACAGCAAUUAACAACCAAAAUCAUGAGAUAAAGGAAAGUGAAUUACCCUGCGAAGCCAAGAUAGAGAAGUGAAGACCGCCCCGUCAAAAUUCGAAGAGCCAUUUCAAAAUUGGAAGCUAAGCCACCACCAGCACCAGACCCAGGUUUGUAGUCGUACCUGCUCCCGCUCCUACUGUAUCCGUAGCUGUAAUGAGAAUAGUGGUUGUUUCCGCCGUGAUUGCCCGAGCUCCGCCGGAAAUUGUAGUCGGCUCGCUUUCGGUCAUCCAUAAGGACCUCGUAGGCCUCCGAUACCUGCUUGAAUCGAAUUGUGGCAUUUUCCCUAAUGGCCCUCGGCGAUUGAGAAUGCUUGUCCGGGUGAAACUGAAACGCUAGUUUCUUGAAAGCGGUUUUGAUUUCCUCCUUGGUCGCGGUUCGGUGCAAGCCGAGAACCUUGUAGUGAUCCAUUUCGAUGGACCGAAUUGGGAUUGAGCUUGUUUCGGUUUUUGUUGAUUGCUAGGGUUUAUGGAAUUUUCCUCCCCUCUCUCGUAUGAAUUUUCUCCUAGAAGUGGCGAAGGGGAAGUACAGGAAGAUGAUCUUCCGGUUUAGAAGAUUGGGGAUUUUGUUAUUCAUGGCUUGAAGAAUGACGAAUCGUGGCCGUGUUGUGCCCGCUGCUUUCUUUGAGAGUUCUCUCUCUCCGUCUUGCUCUUCCUCUCCCCAUCACCGACGAAGUUGGUCCAAUAAGCACGGUUCUCGCUCUUUUC
This 838-nucleotide small RNA is filed under the name Vigna angularis var. angularis. Its description in RNAcentral is "Non-protein coding transcript". Lineage: Eukaryota; Viridiplantae; Streptophyta; Magnoliopsida; Fabales; Fabaceae. The record is from RNAcentral.